AACGAACGCUGGCGGCAGGCCUAACACAUGCAAGUCGAAACGAGAUCUUCGGAUCUAGUGGGCGGACGGGUGAGUAACGCGUGGGAACGUGCCCCUUCUCUACGGGAAUAGUCCUGGGGAAAACUGGGGUUUAAUACCGUAUACGCCCUUCGGGGGAAAGAAAUUUACGGGGAAGGUAUCGGCCCCGCGUUGGAUUAGGUAGUUGGUGGGGUAAUGGCCUACCAAGCCGACGAUCCAAUAGCUGGUUUGAGAGGAUGAUCAGCCACACU
This 269-nucleotide ribosomal RNA is filed under the name uncultured bacterium. Its description in RNAcentral is "partial 16S ribosomal RNA". It matches the Rfam family "Bacterial small subunit ribosomal RNA", at positions 29 to 314 of the family's 1533-position model. The record is from RNAcentral.